This is a long non-coding RNA of Heterocephalus glaber (naked mole-rat), 676 nucleotides long. NCBI's taxonomy places the organism in Eukaryota, Metazoa, Chordata, Mammalia, Rodentia, Bathyergidae. The record is from Ensembl.
CGGUGAGCGGGAUCCAGAAGGAAGCUGCAGUCACUGCUGUUCCUGGGGAUGUGACAUUGAGUAGGAAAACAGAUUCAAGUCCCCGAAAGGUGACCAAAGCACGAAGAUCUUCACAUGAUAAAUCAUCUACAUGUGAUAAUUAUGGGAGCUAACAUUUAUUGAGCAUGUCGUCUAUGCCAGACCCCACUGUCAUGAGAGGGGCUGAGAGAUAAUUUAACAGACUACUGAGUAUGAUGUGUGCUGAACCACAUUGGUUCUUGGGAAUCCAACCAAGGAGAAUUCAGGAUCUAGAAAUAUGGAAAAUUUAGAGCACCUCCAAGGAACUCUGUCCAGAUGGUUGUCUUCAUAUUUAAUUUUUAAUUUCCUUUAUCAACUGUCUUCAAUUUAAAAUGAUGUUACCAUGCAUUACUGUGUGUCGCUGUAAUGGGAGGAGAGGGGCUGCUACAAUGAACCCAAACAUCGACAGGUGGUGACAUCACCAUGCGUGGUACAGAACAGUCUACCUCCAUCACAAAUGCGAAGGGUACAUUCAUCCUCAUGGCACGGAGUGGGAGCCUGGUGAAUGUUUGGGAUGAUUUUAUGGUACGAGCCAUUGCAGGCCUGGUUUCUUGCAAGUGGAGUCUUGUACACAGAGAUAUUUGUGGGUUAAGAAUGCAGGACUACCAGUUUUCAGGGG